This 71-nucleotide transfer RNA is filed under the name Marmota monax (woodchuck). RNAcentral describes it as "tRNA.Ala". It matches the Rfam family "tRNA". Rfam says of the family: Transfer RNA (tRNA) molecules are approximately 80 nucleotides in length. Their secondary structure includes four short double-helical elements and three loops (D, anti-codon, and T loops). The record is from RNAcentral. Lineage: Eukaryota; Metazoa; Chordata; Mammalia; Rodentia; Sciuridae.
GGGGUUGUGGCUCAGAGGUAGAGUGCUCACCUAGCACAUGUGAGGCCCUGGGUUCAAUCCUCAGCACCACA